Molecule: ribosomal RNA, 321 nt
Filed under: uncultured eukaryote
Lineage: Eukaryota
Description: partial 18S ribosomal RNA
Rfam family: Eukaryotic small subunit ribosomal RNA
Source: RNAcentral
CCCUUAGAUGUCCUGGGCCGCACGCGCGCUACACUGACAUGUUCAACAAGCCUCCUAGUUGGACAGGAUUUGGGAAAUCUUUGAACGCAUGUCGUGAUAGGGAUAGAUCAUUGCAAUUAUUGAUCUUGAACGAGGAAUUCCUAGUAAACGCGAGUCAUCAGCUCGCAUUGAUUACGUCCCUGCCCUUUGUACACACCGCCCGUCGCACCUACCGAUUGAAUGUUUCGGUGAAGAUUCCGGAUAGGACUUUUUUGAUUUAUUUCAAUUCUGUCUUAAAAGCUAUCUAAACCUCAACAUUUAGAGGAAGGUGAAGUCGUAACA